GGGUGAGUAAUGUAUCGGAACGUGCCCAGUAGCGGGGGAUAACUACGCGAAAGCGUAGCUAAUACCGCAUACGCCCUACGGGGGAAAGCAGGGGAUCGCAAGACCUUGCACUAUUGGAGCGGCCGAUAUCGGAUUAGCUAGUUGGUGGGGUAACGGCUCACCAAGGCGACGAUCCGUAGCUGGUUUGAGAGGACGACCAGCCACACUGGGACUGAGACACGGCCCAGACUCCUACGGGAGGCAGCAGUGGGGAAUUUUGGACAAUGGGGGAAACCCUGAUCCAGCCAUCCCGCGUGUGCGAUGAAGGCCUUCGGGUUGUAAAGCACUUUUGGCAGGAAAGAAACGUCGUGGGUUAAUACCCCGCGAAACUGACGGUACCUGCAGAAUAAGCACCGGCUAACUACGUGCCAGCAGCCGCGGUAAUACGUAGGGUGCAAGCGUUAAUCGGAAUUACUGGGCGUAAAGCGUGCGCAGGCGGUUCGGAAAGAAAGAUGUGAAAUCCCAGAGCUUAACUUUGGAACUGCAUUUUUAACUACCGGGCUAGAGUGUGUCAGAGGGAGGUGGAAUUCCGCGUGUAGCAGUGAAAUGCGUAGAUAUGCGGAGGAACACCGAUGGCGAA
Molecule: ribosomal RNA, 619 nt
Filed under: Achromobacter xylosoxidans
Lineage: Bacteria; Pseudomonadati; Pseudomonadota; Betaproteobacteria; Burkholderiales; Alcaligenaceae
Description: bacterial SSU rRNA
Rfam family: Bacterial small subunit ribosomal RNA
Source: RNAcentral